CGUGGGUAACCUGCCCAAGAGAUCGGGAUAACACCUGGAAACAGAUGCUAAUACCGGAUAACAACAGAUGAUGCCUAUCAACUGUUUAAAAGAUGGUUCUGCUAUCACUCUUGGAUGGACCUGCGGUGCNUUAGCUAGUUGGUAGGGUAACGGCCUACCAAGGCGAUGAUGCAUAGCCGAGUUGAGAGACUGAUCGGCCACAUUGGGACUGAGACACGGCCCAAACUCCUCGGGAGGCAGCAGCC
RNAcentral lists this ribosomal RNA (245 nucleotides) under uncultured Lactobacillus sp. RNAcentral describes it as "partial 16S ribosomal RNA". It matches the Rfam family "Bacterial small subunit ribosomal RNA", at positions 116 to 355 of the family's 1533-position model. Lineage: Bacteria; Bacillati; Bacillota; Bacilli; Lactobacillales; Lactobacillaceae. The record is from RNAcentral.